RNAcentral lists this ribosomal RNA (253 nucleotides) under uncultured bacterium. Its description in RNAcentral is "partial 16S ribosomal RNA". It matches the Rfam family "Bacterial small subunit ribosomal RNA", at positions 524 to 776 of the family's 1533-position model. The record is from RNAcentral.
UACGUAGGGUGCAAGCGUUGUCCGGAAUUAUUGGGCGUAAAGAGCUCGUAGGUGGCCUGUCGCGUCGGCUGUGAAAACUCGGGGCUCAACUCCGAGCUUGCAGUCGAUACGGGCAGACUAGAGUGUGGUAGGGGAGAUCGGAAUUCCUGGUGUAGCGGUGGAAUGCGCAGAUAUCAGGAGGAACACCGGUGGCGAAGGCGGAUCUCUGGGCCAUAACUGACGCUGAGGAGCGAAAGCAUGGGGAGCGAACAGG